This 494-nucleotide ribosomal RNA is filed under the name uncultured bacterium. Its description in RNAcentral is "partial 16S ribosomal RNA". It matches the Rfam family "Bacterial small subunit ribosomal RNA", at positions 28 to 507 of the family's 1533-position model. The record is from RNAcentral.
GACGAACGCUGGCGGCGUGCUUAACACAUGCAAGUCGAACGGUGAAGCGCCUUCCUUUUUGGUGGGUGUGGAUGAGUGGCGAACGGGUGCGUAACACGUGCGUACCCUGCCCCCUUCUUCUGCAUAACCGCAUGAAAGUGUGUCUAAUACGGGAUCUCCUGGUUCUUUCUCAUGAUUGGUCUGGGUCAGAUAUUGUUUCGGUGGUGGAUGCGUUGGCGCCCUAUCAGGUUGUUGGUGGGGUGAGGGCCUUCCAAGGCGGUGACGGGUAGACGGCCUGGGAGGGUGGACGGCCAGAGUGGGAGUGAGGCACGGCCGAGACUCAUACGGGGGGCAGAAGUGGGGAGGAGUGCACAAUGGGGGAAAGCCUGAAGCAGCGAGACGGCGUAAGGGAUGGAGGCGUGCGGGUUGUGAACGUCUUUGGGCAGUGAAGCGGGUCUGCCUGGGUUGUGGGGGGGUUGACGGUAGCUGGAUAAGAAGCGCCGGCUAACUACGUG